RNAcentral lists this long non-coding RNA (600 nucleotides) under Rattus norvegicus (Norway rat). RNAcentral describes it as "long non-coding RNA NONRATT014008". Lineage: Eukaryota; Metazoa; Chordata; Mammalia; Rodentia; Muridae. The record is from RNAcentral.
UUAUUUAUUUAUUUUAUUUAUUUAUUUUUUUUUUUUUGCCCCCUCUCGGGGCUGGGGACCGAACCCAGGGCCUUGCGCUUGCUAGGCAAGCGCUCUACCACUGAGCUAAAUCCCCAACCCCUUAAUACAUUUUAAAGCAUGUAUUUGUCUGGGGCUUCUUUCAGUGGUUGGAACUCUUGAUAGUAAGUAUGGAAUCUCCUGUACUGAUUUGAAAUCUAAGAUUAGAAAAAAAAAAGGUUAACAGUGCAAAUUAGAUUGGCACAAAAAUAUUCUUUUGCUAACACUGCAUGACAAGAAAAUGUUGAUUUGUCAUAAUCACAGUCUGUGCACAUGUUUAGUUCUAGAAAGCCAUCCUGAGAGGUAUGGUUUGUUAACUUGUGGCUGAUGUGACUCUUGAUGUUUGUGACAGGUGGACAUGCUGAGCGAAAUUAACAUUGCACCUCGGAUCCUCACCAACUUCACUGGAGUGAUGCCACCUCAGUUCAAAAAAGAUUUGGAUUCUUAUCUUAAAACUCGAUCACCGGUCACUUUUCUGUCUGAUCUGCGUAGUAACCUACAGGUAUCUAAUGAACCUGGGAAUCGCUACAACCUCCAGCUUAU